GCCAGGGUGGCGAAAUGGCAGACGCAGUGGACUCAAAAUCCACCGCCCCAUAAAGGCGUGGGGGUUCGACUCCCCCCCCUGGCACCA
This 87-nucleotide transfer RNA is filed under the name Lentisphaerota bacterium. Its description in RNAcentral is "Lentisphaerae bacterium (anaerobic digester metagenome) tRNA-Leu". It matches the Rfam family "tRNA". Rfam says of the family: Transfer RNA (tRNA) molecules are approximately 80 nucleotides in length. Their secondary structure includes four short double-helical elements and three loops (D, anti-codon, and T loops). Lineage: Bacteria; Pseudomonadati; Lentisphaerota. RNAcentral also lists the same sequence under 1 other name. The record is from RNAcentral.